Molecule: transfer RNA, 65 nt
Filed under: Cypridina dentata
Lineage: Eukaryota; Metazoa; Arthropoda; Ostracoda; Myodocopida; Cypridinidae
Description: tRNA-Gly
Rfam family: tRNA
About the family: Transfer RNA (tRNA) molecules are approximately 80 nucleotides in length.
Source: RNAcentral
GUUUACUUAGUAUAAAUAGUAUGUUUGACUUCCAAUCAAAAGGUUCAAUAAUAUUGAAGUAAAUA